UACGUAGGGUGCGAGCGUUGUCCGGAAUUAUUGGGCGUAAAGAGUUCGUAGGCGGUUUGUCGCGUCUGCUGUGAAAACCUAAGGCUCAACCUUGGGCUUGCAGUGGGGUACGGGGCAGACUAGAGUGCGGUAGGGGGUGACUGGAAUUCCUGGUGUAGCGGUGGAAUGCGCAGAUUAUCAGGAAGAACACCCCGUGGCGAAGGCGGCUCUCUGGGGACGGGUA
This 223-nucleotide ribosomal RNA is filed under the name uncultured bacterium. RNAcentral's name for it is "partial 16S ribosomal RNA". It matches the Rfam family "Bacterial small subunit ribosomal RNA", at positions 524 to 739 of the family's 1533-position model. The record is from RNAcentral.